Xiphias gladius (swordfish) is the source of this 1581-nucleotide long non-coding RNA. RefSeq lists it as uncharacterized. The record is from RefSeq and is a predicted model, not a curated record. NCBI's taxonomy places the organism in Eukaryota, Metazoa, Chordata, Actinopteri, Istiophoriformes, Xiphiidae. The transcript is spliced from 4 exons.
GAGCAGCCCAGUCAACAUAACAACAGUGUUGGAGCGAGAGAGUAACUGAGUACAUUUACUCGUACUGCUCUUAAGUACAGUGUUGACGUUCUUGUGCUUGACUUUGUCCGUCUACCUGUCGGUGCGUGUGUACUGGUCUGGCUGGCCGGGCGUGGUGGUCCGGGCCUCCCCCUGCCGCCAGUCCUCCCGCACACCUGAGGCUCGUCCGCUAGUCAACGCCUGCAGCACGUGGCACAUCCAGCACCGGGAUGUGCCACGCUCCGGUCUUCGCCGGAUCCUUCAGUUUGCCGCCGUGGUCCUGACGGAACGGCCAAGCCUCAGUCUCCAGUGACGGUUUCCUCCUGUCUCAUCCCGUGUUUCCCUGUGCUCCGGGUCCGGGUCUGUGCCCCUGUUCGGCCUGAACCCCAGAGAUCCCUGAGCUUCUUGUGUCUCUUCAGCAGCUCGGCCUCCAGAGGAGAAAUCUUCCUUCGGGCUUCUUCCUCCCGUUUCCUCUGUUUGAUCAGCUGAUCUCUUUUCCUGGACUCCAGCACUCGGUGCAGCUCCGGCUUCAUCUCCACGCUGACGCCUCCUCUGUACAACUUUAGUUUUCCUCCUGAAUGACAAAACUGAAAAGAGAAGUCGACCUUGCCCACAGGGUUAAAGCCGCGCAAGUGAAUGAGCGACUGUGCGGUGGCGAUGUGAAAACUUUCCCAGCGUCCUCGGCGGUGGAGGCCCGUGAGGUGGGAGGCUGUUGCUUAGCAGCGUCUGUUUGUUUCUUCAGAAACUUCACACAAUCUGAGCUCGACGGUCGAGACGGAGCAGCAGCAAAGAGCGAUUCUCUCCCGGUAAUUAAAGACCAGAAAAUCCUGCCCUCUGAUUGGUCGGCAGGGGUCAGUUAAAUGAUGAUACGGGUCAGCAGAUGUUGCUUGAGUCCAGACCGGAAACAUAUUUUCAGUUGGAGCCGCUUCGACAGAUUAAGGUCAUCAACCCUCGAUAAUCUGGACCAACUGCUCACAUGGACGAGUUCAUCAGAAAAAUCGGUCCCGAUGUGUCCGUGACUCCUCGAGACUCGGCGAACGAAAUCCUGCAGAAGCUCUGAUGUCUAGUUUCAGGGUGAAGCAAGGACACACUGUCCCAUGAACGUCACCGUUCCUCCGCAUCAGGCCAACAUGGAGGCUUCUUGUGUUUGUCCUGAAAUACCCUCACUUCAACAAUGUCCCCACUGACCACGACUUGUCCAAACUUUCCAAAAACAAAUAAAACUUUUUUUCAAAAAGUCCACGCUACAUAAAAAUGUCCCCACUUUCCAAAAUUGUCCUCACACAGAUGUGCUCAGCUUCUAAACAUGUCCUUACUGUCCACAAGUGCUCUCACUCUGCUAAAAUGUCCUUACGUGUCUGAAAGUUCCCCUCCCUCUAAAAUGUCCUCACUAGCCUGAAAUGUCCCCAGUGUCUACAAAUGCCCCUGCUUCCCAAAAACAUUCCCACUUACAACAAAUGUCCUCAGUUCUGACAAAUUUCUGUGUCCUCACAAGCACGUGUCCUCAAACUCACUUUUACCUUUUGUAGCUGCUCAGCAGCUCCCGGUGAAGCUCCUGGUGAC